RNAcentral lists this transfer RNA (72 nucleotides) under Patescibacteria group bacterium. RNAcentral describes it as "tRNA-Arg". It matches the Rfam family "tRNA". Rfam says of the family: Transfer RNA (tRNA) molecules are approximately 80 nucleotides in length. Their secondary structure includes four short double-helical elements and three loops (D, anti-codon, and T loops). Further hydrogen bonds mediate the characteristic L-shaped molecular structure. tRNAs have two regions of fundamental functional importance: the anti-codon, which is responsible for specific mRNA codon recognition, and the 3' end, to which the tRNAs corresponding amino acid is attached (by aminoacyl-tRNA synthetases). tRNAs cope with the degeneracy of the genetic code in two manners: having more than one tRNA (with a specific anti-codon) for a particular amino acid; and 'wobble' base-pairing, i.e. permitting non-standard base-pairing at the 3rd anti-codon position. The record is from RNAcentral.
GCCCUCAUAGUUCAAUGGAUAGAACGGAGGCGUCCUAAGCUUUUGAUGUAGGUUCGAUUCCUACUGAGGGCA